GGUCUAAUCAUCUUAUUUCACAAAAUUAAUACAAAGUCCUCUAUUACAAAUUAAUAAUUCAAAAAUUACAAACAAGCCCUUUUAAUUUUACAUUUCAGCCCUUGAAUAGUUUCUUAGCACCUAAGAAACCCCUAGGUGGGCCCAGCUGCAUGAAUGCCAUUUGUCUCAUGCUGCUUGCCAUUUGGCUUCCUUCCAACAAGCUGAGAAACACGUGUGAGCCAUGCAACCAACUUGUCCAACACUUGUCCUCAACUUGCACAGUAUUCUACACACUACAAAUAGCAACUACUGUUUUUUUUACUGCGGCCUUUUCACCACUGCCUCAUCGAGCCACCUCCACUCCACCUGCUGGCAAUCCUUCCUGCUGCUUGCUAUUGAUUGCCUCACAUGCUCCUGAUUGUUUUGCUUGUACGAUUAUAGUAGAGUAAAAUGCAUGUUUAGGCAGUACUUUAACAAAGCUAAUCCAGAACCCAUGUGUAUUCUCUGUGAAUAGUAUUGUCAUUUUGCUAAUAGGGAGUAGAACACAUCUACCUACCAGUAAUCACCAUCUUCUUUGCUCACCCAAAUCAGGCAUCUAUGCAUCAGAAUCAACACUACAACUUGUUUCCCUGAUACACUAAAACUUGUUGUCAAUGAGAGAGAGAUGGACUUAGCUUUUCUUAGGAUACUUAGCAGCAGGCCACGCGCUGGACCGCCGGUCCCAACACCGGCAAGCUGGGAAGGAGUAGGCGUGACCCCAGCCUAGCCGUCAUCAGCAAUGGCCGCGGCACCUGAGCCGUGCCGAGAAGCCAUGGCAGUCAUUGUCGUUGUAGUGGUGCGUGCUGCUAGAGAAAUCGUAGGGAGAAGCGUCGUGGUCGCCGAAGAGGAUGAAGUUGGCCGUGCCGGACCCGAGGGAGACGGCUGCGGCCAUGGCAUCCCAAAAGCUAGGGUUGCAGUUUCGGGAUAGGUUGGUGGAGUUUUGUAGAAAUUAAUUUGGGGAUCUAAAAGACGAGGAGUGAGAGAGGAGUCUACGGCUAGUCUCAGCUUGGCCGGACAUGGCCGGAGCAAGGAGAUCAAGGCGGCGGCGUGGUGCCGUUUGUGCUUGCUCGGGAGAGAAAGAGAAAAGGAGAGGCCGAGAGGGAGAUAAGGGAGAGAGAGAACCGAGAGGGAGGAGGAGUACUAGUACUACUUCGUUGGGCUGCUCUCGAGGCUUAGACAAGAGAUUAGCUUUGUCCUUGCUCUUUGCAGCACGUGGGAGCUAGCUAGCAGUAGCUUCGUUAAAAAAAAAGGUGAAAGAGUUAGCAAUAGCACUAGUACACCACACUAGCACACCUCCGACGGACACGCUUGCAUCUUUUAUUUCAUCUGUACGCUAGAGACUAGGUGAGAUUAGCUUAGAAACUUUGUUAGCAAUGCAUGUUUAUUUUGCUUGCUUUACUUUAUUUUAUUUUAUUUUAUUUAUUACAAUCAGUUUUAGGAGAUUUUUAAGUAUGUUUAUGAAUUAAAUAUUAGGAGUUGACUCCGGACAAGUAGGACACCCGGACGGUGUUUCCGAGUUGACCGGAACGCUACCAGGCAAGUCGCAUCCUUUGAAUAUGUCUUCGAAAAUGUUUUUAUGAAAUUUGUCGGAUUUCAAAAUUCUUGCAUGUCACUCAAAAAUAAUUUUUAUACAUAUUAAGAAUAUUUAUGUGGAUCAGGAAGAUCCAUUAGUUUGGUCAGUACUAGAUUUGCCGGCCCGGACAGGGUUACGGCUAGAGUAUAUUCGGCAGGUAGGGAGCUCAGGUAGUAGAGCAACCCGGAUAGGGUUGAUGGAAAGUCAUGGCUCUCCUACAUAGGAAUAUCAUAUAAGGA
This 1830-nucleotide long non-coding RNA is filed under the name Brachypodium distachyon (stiff brome). RNAcentral describes it as "long non-coding RNA (BDIS_LNC005378)". Lineage: Eukaryota; Viridiplantae; Streptophyta; Magnoliopsida; Poales; Poaceae. The record is from RNAcentral.